CAGUCGCCGCGGUAAGACAGAAGAUGCAAGCGUUAUCCGGAAUGAUUGGGCGUAAAGCGUCUGUAGGUGGCUUUUCAAGUCCACCGUCAAAUCCCAGGGCUCAACCCUGGACAGGCGGUGGAAACUACCAAGCUAGAGUACGGUAGGGGCAGAGGGAAUUUCCGGUGGAGCAGUGAAAUGCGUUGAGAUCGGAAAGAACACCAACGGCGAAAGCACUCUGCUGGGCCGACACUGACACUGAGAGACGAAAGCUAGGGGAGCAAAUGGGAUUAGAUACCCCUGUAGUCCCUGUCUCUUAUAA
Molecule: ribosomal RNA, 301 nt
Filed under: uncultured bacterium
Lineage: Bacteria
Description: partial 16S ribosomal RNA
Rfam family: Bacterial small subunit ribosomal RNA
Source: RNAcentral